AUGGAGAACGUGCUGGGAUGUGCAUUCAUAGACUUGUGGCUUCAGCUUGGCAGGUUGAGCGGAGAAGACCAGGUGGAGCAGCGUCCUCAGACCCUGAAAGUCCAGGAGGGAGAGGACAGCCGCAGCCUCAGCUGCAGCUACACGGCCAGCUCUUUCAGGGGAAUGCAGUGGUUCAGACUAGAUCCCGGGAAGGGCCCCGAACUCCUCUUCCUUCUGCUCUCAGUUGGGGAUGAAAAGCAGAGCGAAAGACUAAGAGCCACAGUGUCAAAGAAUGGAAGUUCUCUGCACAUCGCAGCCCCUAAACCUGAAGACUCAGCCGCUUCCCUCUGUGCUGUGGAGGCACCGCGCUCCCCAGGCAGCUGCAGUCUGUGCCCAAACCCUGCAGCUGGGGCUCCGGAGUGA
Vicugna pacos (alpaca) is the source of this 402-nucleotide non-coding RNA. NCBI's taxonomy places the organism in Eukaryota, Metazoa, Chordata, Mammalia, Artiodactyla, Camelidae. The record is from the annotation of a RefSeq genome assembly.